This 2095-nucleotide long non-coding RNA is filed under the name Homo sapiens (human). RNAcentral's name for it is "HSALNT0182461". The record is from RNAcentral. Lineage: Eukaryota; Metazoa; Chordata; Mammalia; Primates; Hominidae.
UCUUGAUGUUUUAAUCCUGCCAGGAGUUUCCGUGAGGUUUUUUCAGUGGGAUUAUUUGUGUCCCUGUGGCUCUUCAGGGAGCUUGCAGAAUUCUAGCUAAAGAUAAGAAGGGCAUCGCUUCAAAUGGGAGGCCAAUCAAUGCAGCAUUAGGAAGGCUUCAUUCAGCUCAGCACCACCUUGCAUGCUCAGUGUAAAUUCUCCUGGAGCCUGUCAAGCUAUGUUUGAACUCGUUCCAGGAUAGUGGAUUUACUUUUUUUUCCCCACCAGGAAGAAUACUCGAUUAGACUGCAUUUUGCCUUGCUUUUCCUUCUCCCUUUCUCUCUCUUUCUUUCUUUCUUUCUUUCUUUCUUUCUUUCUUUCUUUCUUUCUUUCUUUCUUUCUUUCUUUCUUUCUUUUUCUUUCUCUCUCUCUCUCUCUUUCUUUCUUUCCUUUCUUUUCUUUCUUUCCUCUUUCUCUUUCCUUCUUUCUUUUUUUCUUCUUUCUUUCCUUCCUUCCUUCCAUCUUUCUUUUCUUUCUUUCCAUUUUUUUUUUCCUCCAGAAGAAUGGAAACAGUAUUCUUUUCCGAUCAGUUCAGUAAUACAAUGUCCUUCAGUGUCCAUAUGAGCAUUUCAGUGGAGAAGAAAAGAAACUUUGCUACCUGGGAACUGAAGACUACUUACAUAGACCAGCCGGUGCUGAUGGGGUCCGGGACUUGACGAUGGCGCCUGCUCGUUCCUGUUGUGUUCUAUCUGAGGCAUGAUUUUCUUUCGUUUUUGGGAGGUAGAGAGCACGGGGCAGAGGUUGCACCUGACACAUUAGAACUCCGUUGUCACUGCUGUGGCUGUUAUUCCCCUCGGCAAGAGCCAAGGAGCAAACAGGACGGCAAAGAUGGGCUGUCUGGAAAGCUGGACUCAGCCUGGAGCAUGUUCCCCAGAUUGCUAUUUUGUGAAGGCUUCCGCAUACAAAUGACUCAGAUCCAAACAUUCAAAAAUGAUCUUGGAGGGCCAUCUGGUUCUUGCUGGUUCUAAAAGCUUCCUUCAGCCUGGAGUAUGGAUCCAGUACAAAAGAUAGUGAGAGCUGUUCAUUGAGGUUUAACAUGUUCCACUGACCGAGGCUAGAAGCUGGCUUUAAAAAAUAGCCAACACUGAUGCUCCAAGGGCCAAUUGCUGAUGCUUGUCACAGUGAAGAUCCCGGUGUUACACAUCCAAUCGUUCACCUCCUUCCAAGACUAUGACAUUCCAGGAAACCUUCACUGCUAAGAGGAACUAAGAUCUAGAGUAUCUCCUCGAGGAAGUACAACUGGUAAGUCCUGGAUUCUCCCUCCUUGGUUCUUCCCUGGACCAAGGACAGAAGAAUCAUUCAACACAGAGGCUAUUGACAAAAGGGGCAUAUUUGGUGCAAACAGGGGUAAGUCAUGAUUAGUUCGGUAAUUAAUAAGAAGUCCAGUGGCUCACGUCUGUUUUCACUAAGGUGGGGAGCAGUAUGUGUCCAGAGCUCUAGAGGGACCGAAAGGCCAAGUGUCCACGGUGGCAAGAGAAUCCAGAAGUUUUCUCCUCCUGUCCUGUAACUGGUUUUCACUCACUCAACUGAGAGAUUUCUUUGUUGCAAUGAUGGGGUCUAAGAUAACACUUCUGGAGGCUGCAGGCGAGAAACACAGCUGAUAUCAUCUUUUAUUGUGUGUUGUUAUUUGCCUAGCAUUAUAAAUUAAGGAGGAAUAGUAACAAAGAGCUUGAAGACAUGCACAGCUCACAGGCCCCGGGUGGAGGCUGGCGACAUCAGACAGACAGAACCAAGACAUCUGAGGGGCAACCAGGAGGUGCGUGUGGCUGCAGAGCACACACAGACUUGUCUUUGGACAAAAUUGAGAAGAACUCAUAAACUUGGCUUCCUCGCUUCUGCUCCUCAGACGCGCGUGGAUGAUUUGAAGAUAUUAGCCUAACAAGAUGGAAGCAGGUUUAAAAUUUUACAUAAGAAGUUACCUUUUUCAGGUAAUGGUGUUUUUCUGUAAUUUUCCCAAACCUUUCGCUUCCUCAAGUAUUGCAAAUUUUUAGGGCAUGCUUGAAUGAUUUAAUUAUGAAGAAUAACUACAUUUUAAACUUAAUUUUUUAAAAAAGAA